Molecule: microRNA precursor, 94 nt
Organism: Petromyzon marinus (sea lamprey)
Lineage: Eukaryota; Metazoa; Chordata; Hyperoartia; Petromyzontiformes; Petromyzontidae
Source: Ensembl
GCGUUGGCUGUGUAUAGGUGGCCGGUUAGCUCAGCUGGUUAGAGCGUGGUGCUAAUAACGCCAAGGUCCUGGGUUCGAUCCGCAUACUGGCCAG